Ochotona princeps (American pika) is the source of this 419-nucleotide long non-coding RNA. RefSeq lists it as uncharacterized. The transcript is spliced from 3 exons. Lineage: Eukaryota; Metazoa; Chordata; Mammalia; Lagomorpha; Ochotonidae. The record is from RefSeq and is a predicted model, not a curated record.
UCAGUACAUUCUGUCCCUAUUUUUCAUAUCAACAAGGCUAUUAUUUUGUACAGUGUUUCCGUGAAGCCUGGAAGAUGGGCUGGAGAGGUUGAUUGGAAGCAAGAUUUAAUCAUGGAUGUUGAGCUGAAAUGAUGGGGUUACUCAGUACCACGGUGGCCAGGACUAGGGUGAAGUCACAGAAAAUCACCCUACCUGGUCUGUUCUUUCCUAUGCUGAUUCCAGGGCCAACCUGAUAUCCCCUGGGGUCCCAGGAUGGCUGUGAGAAGCUCCAGGGAACACCUUGUUCUUGCCCAAGAUCUUCAGCAAGAUCUCUCAUAUGGGUGGUACUAUGACAGAGAAACAAACCUUUCAGCUACCUUCUUGAUCAACCAGCAGUGGCUGCCUCAUGAACUCUUCAAUGACACGACUUUGUUCUAGAA